UUCUGCAGUCUUAAAAAGUGAUUAUAUGGAAGGCAGUUUUAAAAAAUUGAGCAGUAAGCAGGGUCAAGUCUGGUUAGUACUUGGAUGGGAGACCGCCUAGGAAGACCAGGUGCUGUAGGCG
This 121-nucleotide ribosomal RNA is filed under the name Pteropus vampyrus (large flying fox). The record is from RNAcentral. Lineage: Eukaryota; Metazoa; Chordata; Mammalia; Chiroptera; Pteropodidae.